GUUUAACACUUCAUGACUGAGAGCAGAACAGAACACAAUCUUCAUCAUCACACAAGACACAACAACAACAAUGAACAACAUCAUCAUCCUCAUCUGGACUCUCACACUGUUUGCUCAAGAGUGUAGAGGACAGAUCACUGUAACUCAGAGUCCAUCAAUAACAGCAGCUCUACCAGGACAAGAAGUCAGAAUAAACUGUAAAACCAGCAGUAAUGUGUACAGUGAUAGUUAUGGGUCAAGGAUGGCCUGGUAUUUACAGAAACCUGGAGAAGCUCCUAAACUCCUCAUAUAUUAUAUAUCAACCCGUUUCACUGGAACUUCAUCUAGAUUCAGUGGCAGUGGAUCUAACAGUGAUUUCACUCUGACCAUCAGUGGAGUCCAGACUGAAGAUACAGGAGAUUAUUACUGUCAGAGUGCACACUAUAUCAGUAGUAGCUAUGUGUUCACACAGUGAUAAAGAGUCGUACAAAAACCUCCGUCAGUCAGAGUCACAGUGACUGCACUGAUACAGCUGAGAGAUACUGCAGCUGCUGAUGGAUGUGAAUCAUCUCAGUCACUCUUGUCUGUAGAUCAUUAAAUUUCAAUGCAGAAAACUAGCUAUCUAUUAGCAGAAACCAAACAUUUCCAUUCAUAAGUUGCAUCAGGACACUUUUCCAUCAUUAAAGUUUAGGGAAUAGCCUCAAAGUCCAGAUUGAGUCUUGCCUUCACUACACAACUCUCUGACUACAUGAAUAACUGCUGCUCACAUCACAGAAGACUUCUGCUCAUCUUUCAUCUCUGUGUUGUAGUUAUGCAGCUUC
Non-coding RNA from Carassius carassius (crucian carp), 800 nucleotides. The record is from the annotation of a RefSeq genome assembly. NCBI's taxonomy places the organism in Eukaryota, Metazoa, Chordata, Actinopteri, Cypriniformes, Cyprinidae.